RNAcentral lists this ribosomal RNA (423 nucleotides) under uncultured archaeon. RNAcentral's name for it is "partial 16S ribosomal RNA". It matches the Rfam family "Archaeal small subunit ribosomal RNA", at positions 323 to 746 of the family's 1478-position model. The record is from RNAcentral.
CUACGGGGUGCUCCAGGCGAGAAAACUUUGCAAUGUGCGAAAGCACGACAAGGUUAAUCCGAGUGGUUUCUGCUAAAGGAACCUUUUGUCGGUCCUAGAAACACCGAUGAAUAAGGGGUGGGCAAGUUCUGGUGUCAGCCGCCGCGGUAAAACCAGCACCUCAAGUGGUCAGGAUGAUUAUUGGGCCUAAAGCAUCCGUAGCCGGCUCUGUAAGUUUUCGGUUAAAUCUGUAUGCUCAACAUACAGGCUGCCGGGAAUACUGCAUAGCUAGGGAGUGGGAGAGGUAGACGGUACUCGGUAGGAAGGGGUAAAAUCCUUUGAUCUAUUGAUGACCACCUGUGGCGAAGGCGGUCUACCAGAACACGUCCGACGGUGAGGGAUGAAAGCUGGGGGAGCAAACCGGGAUUAGAUACCCGCGUAGUC